This is a long non-coding RNA of Cyanistes caeruleus (blue tit), 4391 nucleotides long. The record is from Ensembl. NCBI's taxonomy places the organism in Eukaryota, Metazoa, Chordata, Aves, Passeriformes, Paridae.
AUGAUUUUUCCCAGAAUUCCCGGUUUUUCCCCAGAAUUCCCGGUUUUUUUCCCAGAAUUCCCAGAAUUCCCAGUUUUUUCCCCAGAAUUCCCGGUUUUUUCCCAGAAUUCCCGGGUUUUUUUCCCAGAUUUCCCAGAAUUCCCGGGGAUUUUUCCCAGAAUUCCCAGAAUUCCCGGGUUUUUUUCCCAGAAUUCCCGGUUGUUUUCCCAGAAUUCCCCAGAAUUCCCGGUUUUCCCCAGAAUUCCCAGAAUUCCCGGGUUUUUUUCCCAGAUUUCCCAGAAUUCCCGGGGAUUUUUCCCAGAAUUCCCAGAAUUCCCAUUUUUUUCCCAGAAUUCCCGGGGUUUUUUCCCAGAAUUCCCGGUUUUUUUCCCAGAAUUCCCAGAAUUCCCAGUUUUUUUCCCAGAAUUCCCGGGUUUUUUUCCCAGAAUUCCCAUUUUUUUCCCAGAAUUCCCGGUGUUUUCCCCUCCCCCUCUCUCUCUGUGUCUCUCACCGGGUGGGGGGAGGGGCGUUCCCAGCGCCCUCUCCUGGAGCUGCUCCAGCGCCGNNNNNNNNNNNNNNNNNNNNUUCCCCCAGAAUUCCCAGAAUUCCCCCCAAAAUUCCCCCCAAAAUUCCCCCCAAAUUCCCAGAAUUCCCAGAAUUCCCAGGAUUUUUCCCCGAAUUCCCCCAGAAUUCCCAGAAUUCUCCCGAAUUCCCGGGAUUUUUCCCCAAAUUACCCCAGAAUUCCCCCAGAAUUCCCAAAAUUCCCCCAGAAUUCCCAGGAUUUUUUCCCAGAAUUCCCGGGAUUUCCCCCAGAAUUCCCCCCAAAAUUCCCCAGAUUUCCCAAAAUUCCCAGGAUUUUCCCCAGAAUCCCCGGGAUUUUUCCCCGAAUUCCCCCAGAAUUCCCAGAAAUCCCAGGAUUUUUCCCAGAAUUCCCCCAGAAUUCCCAAAAUUCCCGUUUUUUCCCCAGAAUUCCUGUUUUUUUCCCAGAAUUCCCGUGAUAUUUCCCAGAAUUCCCGGUUUUUUCCCAGAAUUCCCAAAAUUCCCGGUUUUUUUCCCAGAAUUCCCAUUUUUUCCCCAGAAUUCCCGGUUUUUCCCCAGAAUUCCCGGUUUUUUUCCCAGAAUUCCCGGUUUUUUUCCCAGAAUUCCCAGGAUUUUUCCCAGAAUUCCCCCAAAAUUCCCAAAAUUCCCGGGAUUUUUCCCCAGAAUUCCCGUGAUUUUUCCCAGAAUUCCCGGUUUUUUCCCAGAUUUCCCAGGGUUUUUCCCAGAUUUCCCAGAAUUCCCGUGAUAUUUCCCAGAAUUCCCGUUUUUUCCCCAGAAUUCCCAUUUUUUUUUCCCAGAAUUCCCAUUUUUUCCCCAGAAUUCCCGGUUUUUUCCCCGAAUUCCCGGUUUUUUCCCAGAAUUCCCGGUUUUUUCCCAGAAUUCCCAUUUUUUUCCCAGAAUUCCCAGAAUUCCCGUUUUUUUCCCCAGAAUUCCCAGUUUUUUCCCAGAAUUCCCGUGAUAUUUCCCAGAAUUCCCAGUUUUUUCCCAGAUUUCCCAGAAUUCCCAUUUUUUUCCCAGAAUUCCCGGGAUUUUCCCCAGAAUUCCCGGUGUUUUUCCCAGAAUUCCCAGAAUUCCCGGUUUUUUCCCCAGAAUUCCCGGUUUUUUUCCCAGGAUUUUUCCCAGAAUUCCCGUUUUUUUUCCCAGAAUUCCCGGUUUUUUCCCAGAAUUCCCGUUUUUUUUUCCCAGAAUUCCCAGAAUUCCCGGUUUUUUUUCCCAGAAUUCCCGGUUUUUUCCCAGAUUUCCCAGAAUUCCCAUGAUUUUUUUUCCCAGAAUUCCCGUUUUUCCCCUCCCCCUCCCCCUCUCUCUCUGUGUCUCUCACCGGGUGGGGGGAGGGGCGUUCCCAGCGCCCUCUCCUGGAGCUGCUCCAGCGCCGCCGCCCGCAGCUCCAGAGCCCCCAGCCCCCGGCGCACCCCCCGCGCCUGCGUCGCGACAUGUCGCGAUAGGAACGCGUCACGUCGCGAUAGGAACGCGUCAUGUCGCGAUAUGAACACGUCAUGUCGCGAUAUGGACAUGUCAUGUCGCGAUAUGAACACGUCAUGUCGCGAUAUGGAGCCGUUAUAUCGUGAUAUUGAGGGGUUAUAUUGCGAUAUCGAGGUGUUAUAUCGCGAUAUGGACCCAUUAUAUCGCGAUAUGGAGGGGCCAUGUUGCGAUAUCGAGGGGUUAUAUCGCGAUAUGGACCCGUUAUGUCACGAUAUCGACGGGCCAUGUCGCGAUAUCGAGGGGUUAUGUCGCGAUAUGGAGGGUUUAUGUCGCGAUAUCAAGGGGUUAUAUUGCGGUAUCGAGGGUUUAUGUCGCGAUAUCGAGGGGUUAUAUCGCGAUAUGAACCCGUUCUGUCGCGAUAUCGAGGGGUUCUGUCGCGACGGGGGCGCCUCCAAUCACGACGUGAACCCCGACCCCGUCACCAACAGCCCGAUGUAAAUGAGAUGCAAAUGAGACACAAAUGAGGUGCAAACAGGAGGCAAACGAGAUGCAAAUGAGAUGCAAACGAUAUGCAAAUGAGAUGCAAGACNNNNNNNNNNNNNNNNNNNNAAAUGAGAUGCGAACGACGCGCAAGCACGACGCAAACAUGGCGCGGCUGAUAUGCAAAUGAGAUGCAAAUGCAAGAUGUGACGCAAACAGGACACAAUGAGAUGCAAAUGAGAUGCGAAUGAGAUACGGAUGAGAUGCAAACGGGACGUAAUCAUUGCACAAACGAGAUGCAAAUGAGAUGCAAAUGACACGCAAUCGACAUGCAAAUGCGACACGGGACGCAAAUGAGAUGCAAAUGAGAUGUAAACGAUAUGCAACCAUGGCACAAAUGAUAUGCAAAUGAUAUGCAAGCGACAUGCAAAUGAAAUGCAAAGGCAACACAAACAUGGCACAAGUUAUAUGCAAAUUAGACGCAAAUGAGAUGCAAAUGAGAUGGAAACGAGAUGCAACCACGGCACAAAUGAGAUGCAAACGAGAUGCAAGCGAAAUGCAAAUGAGAUGCGAACGCGACACAAACGUGACACAAAUUGUAUGCAAAUUAGAUGCAAGCGACAUGCAAAUGAGAUGCAAACGCGUCCCAAAUACAACGUAAAUUAUAUGCAAAUGAGAUGCAAACGAGAUGUAAAUGAGAUGCAAACGAGAUGCAAACGAGAUGCAAACGCGAGGGGCGUGGCCGAACCCACCUGGCUCAGGGCGGGGUCCCCGGGGGGGCGGAGCCUCGCUCGCCCCUCCCCCCCCUCCGAGUCCGAGUCCGAGUCCUGAGGGGGCGGAGCCAAANNNNNNNNNNNNNNNNNNNNGUUUUUCCCCAGAAUUCCCGUUUUUUUCCCCAGAAUUCCCAGAAUUCCCGUUUUUUUCCCCAGAAUUCCCAGAAUUCCCGGUUUUUUUCCCAGAAUUCCCGGGUUUUUUUCUCAGAUUUCCCAGAAUUCCCAUGAUUUUUCCCAGAAUUCCCGGUUUUUCCCCAGAAUUCCCGGUUUUUUUCCCAGAAUUCCCAGAAUUCCCAGUUUUUUCCCCAGAAUUCCCGGUUUUUUCCCAGAAUUCCCGGGUUUUUUUCCCAGAUUUCCCAGAAUUCCCGGGGAUUUUUCCCAGAAUUCCCAGAAUUCCCGGGUUUUUUUCCCAGAAUUCCCAUUUUUUUCCCAGAAUUCCCGGUGUUUUCCCCUCCCCCUCUCUCUCUGUGUCUCUCACCGGGUGGGGGGAGGGGCGUUCCCAGCGCCCUCUCCUGGAGCUGCUCCAGCGCCGCCGCCCGCAGCUCCAGAGCCCCCAGCCCCCGGCGCACCCCCCGCGCCUGCGUCGCGAUUUAUCGCGAUAUGGACGCGUCACGUCGCGAUAUGGACCCGUUAUGUCGCGAUAUGGACACGUCAUGUCACGAUAUGAACCCGUUAUGUCGCGAUAUGAACGCGUCACGUCGCGAUAGGGACACGUCAUGUCGCGAUAGGGACGCGUCACGUCACGAUAGGGACCCGUUAUGUCGCGAUAGGAACGCGUCAUGUCGCGAUAUGAACCCGUUAUGUCGCGAUAUGGACGCGUCACGUCGCGAUAUGAACACGUCAUGUCGCGAUAUGGACCCGUCACGUCGCGAUAGGGACCCGUUAUGUCGCGAUAUGGACUCGUUAUGUCGCGAUAUGAACGCGUCAUGUCGCGAUAGAGACACGUCAUGUCGCGAUAUGGACUCGUUAUGUCGCGAUAGGGACAUGUCACGUCGCAAUAUGAACGCGUUAUGUCGCGAUAGAGACACGUCAUGUCGCGAUAGAGACGCGUCAUGUCGCGAUAUGAACGCGUCACGUCGGGAUACGAACAUGUUAUGUCGGGAUAUGAACACAUUUUGUCGCAAUAUUGAGGGGUUAUGUCGCGAUAUAGACCCGCUACAUCACAAUAAAGACACGUUAUGUCGUGAUAUGGACCCGUUA